This 624-nucleotide ribosomal RNA is filed under the name uncultured bacterium. Its description in RNAcentral is "bacterial SSU rRNA". It matches the Rfam family "Bacterial small subunit ribosomal RNA", at positions 153 to 796 of the family's 1533-position model. The record is from RNAcentral.
GAAAGGUAUGCUAAUACGGGAUAAUAUAUUUGAGAGGCAUCUCUUAAAUAUCAAAGGUGAGCCAGUACAGGAUGGACCCGCGUCUGAUUAGCUAGUUGGUAAGGUAACGGCUUACCAAGGCGACGAUCAGUAGCCGACCUGAGAGGGUGAUCGGCCACAUUGGAACUGAGACACGGUCCAAACUCCUACGGGAGGCAGCAGUGGGGAAUAUUGCACAAUGGGCGAAAGCCUGAUGCAGCAACGCCGCGUGAGCGAUGAAGGCCUUCGGGUCGUAAAACUCUGUCCUCAAGGAAGAUAAUGACGGUACUUGAGGAGGAAGCCCCGGCUAACUACGUGCCAGCAGCCGCGGUAAUACGUAGGGGGCUAGCGUUAUCCGGAUUUACUGGGCGUAAAGGGUGCGUAGGCGGUCUUUCAAGUCAGGAGUGAAAGGCUACGGCUCAACCGUAGUAAGCUCUUGAAACUGGGAGACUUGAGUGCAGGAGAGGAGAGUGGAAUUCCUAGUGUAGCGGUGAAAUGCGUAGAUAUUAGGAGGAACACCAGUUGCGAAGGCGGCUCUCUGGACUGUAACUGACGCUGAGGCACGAAAGCGUGGGGAGCAAACAGGAUUAGAUACCCUGGUAGUCC